GUUCUUUGCUAACCUUGGAGAGAGUGCCUCAAAGAUCUUUGCAGAGCUUGAGGCUCAGGCCGCUUUCUGUGACUGUUACAUUGCACAGUGAUGUUGGCACAGUGGGACUUGUUUCUCAGGAGGCCAUAUUCACCAGCUGAACUGGCUACAGAUUUCUCCCGUUCCCGUAGAAGUCAAUACUUCAGUGUGGUCUUAUGACUGGCCAAAAAUGCACAAAGGGGAACGUGUUCAAGAAGAGUAGAUGCAAUUUACUCCUCGUCCGCUGUGUCUGUUUUUCUUGUCUGCAUUAGUGAACUGGAAUGUGUUGUGCGCUUAAUUGUUUCUCCAGAAAUGGGCUAGCUGAACCAUCAGAAACCCAGCUUUUGUUUUGAAAAUAUUAUUCAACGUCUUGAGAAGCACUGCCUUCAGAAGAUGACAUGUUUCUUCUGAGGAACAAUCCCUUUAAUUCAAGUGUCUUGCUUUCUUUCCAAAGAGACCACGGUGAUGGAAAAGGAGAAAGAGACACUCCAGGAAGGUCCGAGUGACAGUCUACCUGUUGCUGCGGGAGAAAAAGAACAAAAUGAAGCACAACGCCCACCAGUUGCCAAUAAUUGGAGUUGUUGCAUGUGCCACUGCAGCAGCUGAUAGCGCCUCUUUGAACCUUCUCCUCCUUCCCAGUGGAGACGCUCAGCUCUGGGGGAUGUGGGAAAUCAAUGUCUUUGACCUGCCACGUUCCAGUGUCGUGAGGAAAUGGGCUGUGCAAUUAUGUAAAUAAAAGUGAGACGAACUGUGGGUUGUUCUGUUGUUACUGGAGAAGUUGGGAGGGCUCGAAGAGCUGGAGCUGUCUCCCUGCUAGGGUACCCUGUGUGCUGGGUUGCCUGGGCACUGCGAGCAGCUUUCCUAGCCUUGCCCCUGGGAGAGCUGGCAGAAGGCUUUCUGCUUGAGCCAAAGCUGGACAAAGCCAAGGCUUGCUCUGAUUUGAGGGCAGGUUUCUCCUGUCUGUGCACACUGCAGCCUCCCUAGUGCGAGGCAGAGAAGGACGUGAUGGUGGUCAUGAGGUCUGGGCCAAGGGACUCCUUGUGAACUCUUCAG
RNAcentral lists this long non-coding RNA (1071 nucleotides) under Struthio camelus australis. RNAcentral's name for it is "lncRNA (ENSSCUG00000002273.1)". Lineage: Eukaryota; Metazoa; Chordata; Aves; Struthioniformes; Struthionidae. The record is from RNAcentral.